GCCGGGCAUGGGGGCGCAUGCCUGUAAUCCCAGCUACUCAGGAGGCUGAAGCAGGAGAAUCACUUGAACCCAGGAGGCGGAGGUUGCAGUGAGCUGAGAUCACGCCACUGCAAUCCAGCCUGGGCAACAGAAUGAGACUCUGUCUCAA
This 148-nucleotide non-coding RNA is filed under the name Nomascus leucogenys (northern white-cheeked gibbon). The record is from Rfam by way of RNAcentral. Lineage: Eukaryota; Metazoa; Chordata; Mammalia; Primates; Hylobatidae.